UCUGAAAAAAUGGCAAUUCAAAUAAGGAUCUGCAAGAGAAAUGAAGGCAACAUUGGCAUAACUUGAUUAGCCAUUACAUUUCAUUUGUCAGGUUAUUUAUAUUUGAAACAUGUAGUGAACUCAUUAAUCAGAACUAAUCACACAAUUUGGAACCCAUUUAUUUUUUAUUUUUUUCAGUUGUUACCUUAUUUGAUAAAUACGAUGGAUC
Molecule: long non-coding RNA, 208 nt
Filed under: Actinidia chinensis (golden kiwifruit)
Lineage: Eukaryota; Viridiplantae; Streptophyta; Magnoliopsida; Ericales; Actinidiaceae
Description: long non-coding RNA (ACHI_LNC000477)
Source: RNAcentral